UACGGGGGGGGCAAGCGUUGCUCGGAAUCACUGGGCGUAAAGGGUGCGUAGGCGGGUCUUUAAGUCAGGGGUGAAAUCCUGGAGCUCAACUCCAGAACUGCCUUUGAUACUGAGGAUCUUGAGUCCGGGAGAGGUGAGUGGAACUGCGAGUGUAGAGGUGAAAUUCGUAGAUAUUCGCAAGAACACCAGUGGCGAAGGCGGCUCACUGGCCCGGUACUGACGCUGAGGCACGAAAGCGUGGGGAGCAAACAGG
RNAcentral lists this ribosomal RNA (253 nucleotides) under uncultured bacterium. RNAcentral describes it as "partial 16S ribosomal RNA". It matches the Rfam family "Bacterial small subunit ribosomal RNA", at positions 524 to 776 of the family's 1533-position model. The record is from RNAcentral.